RNAcentral lists this unclassified non-coding RNA (381 nucleotides) under Hevea brasiliensis (rubber tree). The record is from RNAcentral. Lineage: Eukaryota; Viridiplantae; Streptophyta; Magnoliopsida; Malpighiales; Euphorbiaceae.
GUACAUGUCAGGCUGCAGGCCCAGCAUUGAAGCAUCGAACCUUGGUUGCAUCCACGGUGUCAUUCCAAGUCCGUUGAAAUUCAUAGAUGGUAUUCCUCGGUCCCCAUCUCCAAGCCACAUAUGAGGAUUCAAACUGGCAUCGUCAAUUUUUCCCCCAUGCAUAAAAGGAAGCCCUGACGGCCAAGGCCGCUUGAGUCUUAGGGCGAAAGGAGAAGGAUACAUUGGGAAUGUAGUCAGAGGUUCAAUCUCCCAAAGUGACACCCUCGGCUGCCUUUCACCGGCAGUUGAUUCAUCCCAGCCAACCUUCACAGACCGCCAAUGUGAGUUUGGCCAGCGGACAGGGUCUAGAUCAGCUAUCCCUGUAAUCGUACCCAUAUAGCG